RNAcentral lists this ribosomal RNA (497 nucleotides) under uncultured bacterium. RNAcentral describes it as "partial 16S ribosomal RNA". It matches the Rfam family "Bacterial small subunit ribosomal RNA", at positions 28 to 507 of the family's 1533-position model. The record is from RNAcentral.
GAUGAACGCUGGCGGCGUGCCUAAUACAUGCAAGUCGAGCGAACGGACGAGAAGCUUGCUUCUCUGAUGUUAGCGGCGGACGGGUGAGUAACACGUGGAUAACCUACCUAUAAGACUGGGAUAACUUUGGGAAACCGGAGCUAAUACCGGAUAAUAUUUUGAACCGCAUGGUUCAAAAGUGAAAGACGGUCUUGCUGUCACUUAUAGAUGGAUCCGCGCUGCAUUAGCUAGUUGGUAAGGUAACGGCUUACCAAGGCAACGAUGCAUAGCCGACCUGAGAGGGUGAUCGGCCACACUGGAACUGAGACACGGUCCAGACUCCUACGGGAGGCAGCAGUAGGGAAUCUUCCGCAAUGGGCGAAAGCCUGACGGAGCAACGCCGCGUGAGUGAUGAAGGUCUUCGGAUCGUAAAACUCUGUUAUUAGGGAAGAACAUAUGUGUAAGUAACUGUGCACAUCUUGACGGUACCUAAUCAGAAAGCCACGGCUAACUACGUG